GCUGAGCUUCACUGAAAAUGCAAGAGCCUUACAGUCUUUUAGAGUCACCCAUUGUUGGAGGGAUAGAAAUAGAGCCGCCGACUUUAUUACUUUAUUGCGGGAUGUCGAGUUAUUUCUUUAAUGUUUCCAAGAUACCUCCCUUAGCCCUUAAUAACAUUAUUAGAGAGAAUAUGCAGGAACUGAUUUAUGUACGUGUAUGAUAUAUUAUGUACCCUUUUUUUUUUCAUUAUAAUUUAUUAUUUAAAUAGCUGCAAGACCAAAACAGGGUGCAAAAAACCGAAAGCCCUUCUUUUAAG
Molecule: unclassified non-coding RNA, 296 nt
Filed under: Hevea brasiliensis (rubber tree)
Lineage: Eukaryota; Viridiplantae; Streptophyta; Magnoliopsida; Malpighiales; Euphorbiaceae
Source: RNAcentral